UGGAUUUUGCAGGAGGGCGCACGACCGGGCUUUGCUCAGGCCGCGCGCCUACCUGUUUUUUGUCGGGGACUACGCCACUCUUAACUGGGGGGCGCUAGGACGCGGCUCGUUUACUUUGAAAAAAUUAGAGUGUUCAAAGCAGGCCUUUGCUUGAAUACAUUAGCAUGGAAUAAUGGAAUAGGACUUUGGUUCUAUUUUGUUGGUUUCUGGAACCGAAGUAAUGAUUAAUAGGGAUAGUUGGGGGCGUUUAUAUUUCCAUGUCAGAGGUGAAAUUCUUGGAUUUUGGAAAGAUAAACUUCUGCGAAAGCAUUCGCCAAGGAUGUUUUCAUUAAUCAAGAACGAAAGUUAGGGGAUCGAAGACGAUCAGAUACCGUCGUAGUCUUAACCAUAAACUAUGCCGACUAGGGAUCAGUGGACGUUAUUUUAUGACUCCAUUGGCACCUUGUGAGAAAUCAAAGUUUUUGGGUUCCGGGGGGAGUAUGGUCGCAAGGCUGAAACUUAAAGGAAUUGACGGAAGG
Molecule: ribosomal RNA, 518 nt
Filed under: uncultured marine eukaryote
Lineage: Eukaryota
Description: bacterial SSU rRNA
Rfam family: Eukaryotic small subunit ribosomal RNA
Source: RNAcentral